UAGGGAAUCUUCGGCAAUGGACGGAAGUCUGACCGAGCAACGCCGCGUGAGUGAAGAAGGUUUUCGGAUCGUAAAGCUCUGUUGUAAGAGAAGAACGAGUGUGAGAGUGGAAAGUUCACACUGUGACGGUAUCUUACCAGAAAGGGACGGCUAACUACGUGCCAGCAGCCGCGGGUAAUACGUAGGUCCCGAGCGUUGUCCCGGAUUUAUUGGGCGUAAAGCGAGCGCAGGCGGCUAGAUAAGUCUGAAGUUAAAGGCUGUGGCUUAACCAUAGUACGCUUUGGAAACUGUUUAACUUGAGUGCAAGAGGGGAGAGUGGAAUUCCAUGUGUAGCGGUGAAAUGCGUAGAUAUAUGGAGGAACACCGGUGGCGAAAGCGGCUCUCUGGCUUGUAACUGACGCUGAGGCUCGAAAGCGUGGGGAGCAGACAGGAUUAGAUACCCCUGGUAGUCCACGCCGUAAACGAUGAGUGCUAGGUGUUAGACCCUUUCCGGGGUUUAGUGCCGCAGCUAACGCAUUAAG
This 521-nucleotide ribosomal RNA is filed under the name uncultured bacterium. RNAcentral's name for it is "partial 16S ribosomal RNA". It matches the Rfam family "Bacterial small subunit ribosomal RNA", at positions 355 to 864 of the family's 1533-position model. The record is from RNAcentral.